This 75-nucleotide transfer RNA is filed under the name Vibrio scophthalmi. RNAcentral describes it as "tRNA-Ala". It matches the Rfam family "tRNA". Rfam says of the family: Transfer RNA (tRNA) molecules are approximately 80 nucleotides in length. Their secondary structure includes four short double-helical elements and three loops (D, anti-codon, and T loops). Further hydrogen bonds mediate the characteristic L-shaped molecular structure. tRNAs have two regions of fundamental functional importance: the anti-codon, which is responsible for specific mRNA codon recognition, and the 3' end, to which the tRNAs corresponding amino acid is attached (by aminoacyl-tRNA synthetases). tRNAs cope with the degeneracy of the genetic code in two manners: having more than one tRNA (with a specific anti-codon) for a particular amino acid; and 'wobble' base-pairing, i.e. permitting non-standard base-pairing at the 3rd anti-codon position. Lineage: Bacteria; Pseudomonadati; Pseudomonadota; Gammaproteobacteria; Vibrionales; Vibrionaceae. The record is from RNAcentral.
GGGCCUAUAGCUCAGCUGGGAGAGCGCCUGCCUUGCACGCAGGGGUCCUGCGGUUCGAUCGGCAUAGCUCCACCA